This 248-nucleotide ribosomal RNA is filed under the name uncultured bacterium. RNAcentral describes it as "partial 16S ribosomal RNA". It matches the Rfam family "Bacterial small subunit ribosomal RNA", at positions 1248 to 1500 of the family's 1533-position model. The record is from RNAcentral.
AGCGAAGUCGCGAGGCGGAGCAAAUCUCAAAAACCGGUCCCAGUUCGGACUGCAGGCUGCAACCCGCCUGCACGAAGCCGGAGUUGCUAGUAAUCGCGAAUCAGAAUGUCGCGGUGAAUCGCGUCCCCGGGUCUUGUACACACCGCCCGUCACACCAUGGAAGUUUGGGGGGUCGCCCCAAAAGCCGGCAAGCAAAUAUGCUGUCUAAGGCAAAACCAAUGACUGGGGUGAAGUCGUAACAAGGUACC